UGGGGAAUCUUCCGCAAUGGACGAAAGUCUGACGGAGCAACGCCGCGUGAGUGAUGACGGCCUUCGGGUUGUAAAGCUCUGUUUAUCGGGACGAAUGGUUCUUGUGCGAAUAGUGCGAGGAUUUGACGGUACCGGAAUAGAAAGCCACGGCUAACUACGUGCCAGCAGCCGCGGUAAUACGUAGGUGGCAAGCGUUGUCCGGAAUUAUUGGGCGUAAAGCGCGCGCAGGCGGAUUGGUCAGUCUGUCUUAAAAGUUCGGGGCUUAACCCCGUGAUGGGAUGGAAACUGCCAAUCUAGAGUAUCGGAGAGGAAAGUGGAAUUCCUAGUGUAGCGGUGAAAUGCGUAGAUAUUAGGAAGAACACCAGUGGCGAAGGCGACUUUCUGGACGAAAACUGACGCUGAGGCGCGAAAGCCAGGGGAGCGAACGGG
RNAcentral lists this ribosomal RNA (429 nucleotides) under bacterium. RNAcentral describes it as "partial 16S ribosomal RNA". It matches the Rfam family "Bacterial small subunit ribosomal RNA", at positions 355 to 776 of the family's 1533-position model. The record is from RNAcentral.